UACGGAGGAUGCAAGCGUUAUCCGGAUUUAUUGGGUUUAAAGGGUGCGUAGGCGGACUAAUAAGUCAGUGGUGAAAUCCCCCGGCUCAACCAGGGAACUGCCAUUGAUACUGUUAGUCUAGAGUACAGUUGAAGUAGGCGGAAUGUAGCAUGUAGCGGUGAAAUGCAUAGAUAUGCUACAGAACACCGAUAGCGAAGGCAGCUUGCUAAGCUGUAACUGACGCUAAUGCACGAAAGCGUGGGGAUCAAACAGGAUUAGAUACCCUGGUAGUCCACGCUGUAAACGAUGAUCACUCGUUGUUGGCGAUACACAGUCAGCGACUGAACGAAAGUAUUAAGUGAUCCACCUGGGAAGUACGAUCGCAAGGUUGAA
Molecule: ribosomal RNA, 372 nt
Filed under: uncultured bacterium
Lineage: Bacteria
Description: bacterial SSU rRNA
Rfam family: Bacterial small subunit ribosomal RNA
Source: RNAcentral